Molecule: ribosomal RNA, 207 nt
Filed under: uncultured bacterium
Lineage: Bacteria
Description: partial 16S ribosomal RNA
Rfam family: Bacterial small subunit ribosomal RNA
Source: RNAcentral
CGCGUAGGCGGUUAUUUAAGCUGGAUGUGAAAGCCCCGGGCUCAACCUGGGAACUGCAUUCAGAACUGGAUGGCUAGAGUACGAGAGAGGGUAGUGGAAUUUCCUGUGUAGCGGUGAAAUGCGUAGAUAUAGGAAGGAACAUCAGUGGCGAAGGCGACUGCCUGGCUCGAUACUGACGCUGAGGUGCGAAAGCGUGGGGAGCAAACA